Molecule: ribosomal RNA, 369 nt
Filed under: uncultured bacterium
Lineage: Bacteria
Description: bacterial SSU rRNA
Rfam family: Bacterial small subunit ribosomal RNA
Source: RNAcentral
GAAGGGGGCUAGCGUUGCUCGGAAUUACUGGGCGUAAAGGGAGCGUAGGCGGACUGUUUAGUCAGAGGUGAAAGCCCAGGGCUCAACCUUGGAAUUGCCUUUGAUACUGGCAGUCUUGAGUACGGAAGAGGUAUGUGGAACUCCGAGUGUAGAGGUGAAAUUCGUAGAUAUUCGGAAGAACACCAGUGGCGAAGGCGACAUACUGGUCCGUUACUGACGCUGAGGCUCGAAAGCGUGGGGAGCAAACAGGAUUAGAUACCCUGGUAGUCCACGUCGUAAACGAUGAGUGCUAGUUGUCGGCAUGCAUGCAUGUCGGUGACGCAGCUAACGCAUUAAGCACUCCGCCUGGGGAGUACGGUCGCAAGAUUA